AUACUUACCUGGCAGGGGAAAUACCAUGAUCACGAAGUUGGUUUCCCCAAGGCUAGGCUCACCCACUGUACUCCGGGUAUGCUGACCCCUGCAUUGUCCCCAAAUGUGGGAAACUCGACUCCAUAAUUUGUGAUAGUGGGGGACUGCGUUCGCGCUUUCCCCUA
Small nuclear RNA from Suncus etruscus (white-toothed pygmy shrew), 164 nucleotides. RefSeq annotates it as U1 spliceosomal RNA. The transcript has a single exon. The record is from RefSeq and is a predicted model, not a curated record. Lineage: Eukaryota; Metazoa; Chordata; Mammalia; Eulipotyphla; Soricidae.